Long non-coding RNA from Anolis carolinensis (green anole), 3396 nucleotides. RefSeq lists it as uncharacterized. The transcript is spliced from 2 exons. The record is from RefSeq and is a predicted model, not a curated record. NCBI's taxonomy places the organism in Eukaryota, Metazoa, Chordata, Lepidosauria, Squamata, Anolidae.
CAUGUGUAGCUAACCAACAGCAGAGUAGUCAAGACAGAGAGUAAUUAAUUAUGAGGAACAACACACAAGAGAUAAGAGACUGCAGUACGUAGUUUCCUUUUGCCUGACUCUACAGAGAAGAGAAAGAUUCUGCCCUCUCAUCUUGCUUCUGCUGAGUCAACUGAAUGCAGACUAUUUUGAACUCAAUUUGCACCAAGAAGAAGGCUGAGGACAAAAAGAGAAAGUAGCAAGUGGAGCAAACCUGGGGACUUUUAAAACUGAGCUGAAAAAGCAAAUGACUAAUCAGGACAGUUGGGAGGGUCUGUUACAGUCUCUGGACGAAAUGUGUCAGAGAGGAGAAAGGAGACCAAUGAAAACUGGAGGCAACUCUAAGAGGGAGGAAAUGGAAGGUAGACUUCUUAAAGUGGCAGAAGUCUCCUCGUAGUUUGAAGCAAAAAGGAAUGGAAGGCUGUUACCCCAAACGCUGACAACAGUAUCGGCUCUUGGCUUUGCUCAAGGACAAGAGAGCAGUAUGCAAUCUGAAGGUCAUCUAAUUUCAAGCACUGACAGAUCAAUCUAUUAAAUUAUGACAGAUAUAUCUAUUACAUUAAGAGACAAAUAUGUCAAACUAUGUUUAAUGAGAAAUCAUCUAAUAAGGAGCACUCUCAGAUUCACUGGGCUGUUGCCCCCAUAUUGGCUGGAAUAUUCUUGGAAGCUGUGAUACAAAUACCAAUAAUAUUUCCAUGCUCCGCUAAUAAAUAUAUAACCAUAGUACAAAUUAGGAGCACCUAUCAUUUGUAACAUGCUAUAACAUUAUCCAUAUUACAGUGUCUGUCCCAAACAAAAUACAGCAACAAAAAAGUGUGCCAUGCCAGAGGCAUCUUUAAAAGAAAGUUUAUGUAAUGCUGCCAGAUGGUUAAGGCAAGUGAGUCAUAUAACAGGAUGCAGGGAUGAGGCCCUUUUCUAUGAACUAGUCAUAUGAGUCAUAUGUUAGCCUAGAGAGAAGAGUGCCCCACUAUACAGAUAUUAAAGAAUUUGGCAUCAUCAGGAAUAGUCCUUUUGCACCCUCAAGAAAUCUAGGCUAACAGGAAUAUUCAAUAAAAUCAAGAGGCUCUUUCCCACGACACAGUUAUAGCAUUAGGAUUCCACUUUAACUACCAUGACAUCUUUUAGCAUCCUAGGUUUUUCAGUUCCUAAAUGCCUUUCCAGAUUCAUAUCCAGACUACAGAUCCCAGGAUUCCACUGGCUACUGUUGAUGUAAUAUCAUGCCGGCUACAGGGACUCUGAUGCUAAAAAUGAAGCAUCAGCUGUAGAGUUAUGCUGCUUUUUAAUAUAAUUAAUCUGGUAAAAUAAUGUAACUCACCUAUACAUAGCUGGUAAAUCCAAAAGAUGGAUAUUUCAGUAUAAAUUACAAAUUUAAUUUGUGAAGGGAGAAUUCUCUGUAUUUUAACGUGGCCUCAACUCCACAAAAAUAAUACAUGUGUGUGUGGCAGGAAUGAGUGGGAAGGAAUCACACAGCACAGCAUCUCGGCUUGGAACCUAGGCUUGCUUUCUCCUUUCAGGAUUAGUUUUCAGCUGGGUAAAAGCCUUAUGUGGAACAGAUUAGUUCUGUCCGUGAUUAAACAAGAGUGCUUAUAUGAUCAUUGGUAUGCAGUAAAACCCAAAAGCAAGAGUUUCAUGGGUGAAACAUGGCUCCACCUUAAAUGGGAAGGAGCUCUCUAAAUGCUGCACAUAUACCCGCUCUGAGCAUUUCUUGGAUCAGAGAGAAACAGACGCUGUCGCAUCUGGCUAAAUUUAGCACAUCUCUGCAUUGUCUCUUUGAGCUGCUGUUGGUAGCAGUAUCUGAAAUGUAUGAAUCAACCAAAAGAGCUUUUGCCACUAAAAUCAAUCUGCAUCUGAGAUACCUGGUGUCCUCUCCCCCCACCCCACCCCCAAAAGAGGAUUAGAAGAUGGAGGCCUCAAUCCAAAUUUGGCAUCUGAAUCUAGAUUCUGUGUCGUUGUUGCUUUUUUUUUGGUGGGGGUACUUUGAGAGAUAGUCAAGAUAAGGAAAGCCAAACCUUUACUAUAAUAUUUUGGAUAACCUACCUAUAAUAUUGAGAGUGCUAUGUCAGUGCAUCACUAACAUUUUGGGGAGCAUUCUGUCAUUCUUUUGGGCAGCCUUAGUUUUGGUAUUUCAGCUUUUCAAACAGAAAUGAUUUCAAACAGAUCUAUAGUGAUAUGUGUUUGGAAUUUAUUAAUAUUUUUUCCAAAGGAGAAAAUGUUCUGUGAUCUUGAAAUAUCACCCUGAUGCAGUUAUGAAAGUCAGUUUCAUGUAUGCAUCCUGUAAGAUUAGGUACUUUUAAUAUUGAUUUUUCUUUCUUUCUAAAAGAAGCAUAGGUCUGUUUAUGUACAGUAGAUCACAUGCUGCUGUUAACAUUUUAGUCCAAAAAUAUCCCACUAUUCCUUGCUGAUUUUGUUAUAAGCAGAUGAAAAAAUUAACAUGUUUUUGGCAUUUGAAGAAAACCAUAAUAACAGAGAGGAAAUAAAUGAUUUCCCCAUUUGCACAGUAACAUAUCCAAAAUUGGCAGCUACAUACAGAAACACCCUGUAUUAUUGAAUUUGGCAUUCCUGGUUGCUUAUCAAAUAGCAAAUAUUAAAAGCUUUGGCAUAACAUAUAAAUCACACACAAAGUCUGACCCUCAGUAUAUUAUAUAAUUUCAUUUAUUUUUAAACAAGGCUUCUUUGCACUCAAGAUGCAGGAUGCGAAGGUGCAAUUUUAGAAUGGUUACUCAGCAAAACAGACAGCAAAUAAUCCCCAUAUAUGAAUUAGGCAACAUUUUUUUGCAACACCAUAUAUUUCUAGCUUUUUCCUUACCUGUAUUUUCUGAUUCUUUCAUUCUCCCUCUCCUCUCCUUGCUGCAGCUGGGCAGAGACAAACAAAACAGCCCAGCUGAUUGCUGAAAUGGUGACUUUUGAUUUGUCAUUCACAGCCAGUCAUAGGUCACGAAAGCUGCUUUCCUCAGUCCAAGGUAGCGAGGUGGUGAUAAUUUGCAUGAAACAGUGCUGGGUUAUAGUUCGGAUUAUAGAAAAUCAGAGGAAGGAUGAGGAUGCAAGAAGACAUAACAUAUUUUAUAAAAUCUGGCAUGGAUCAGGAGCUGGAGUCGAGAGGUUUUUCUCUCAGCACAUUUCUGGAGACCGCAUCCUACUUGUUCAUUAAACACAGAAUAAGCCAGAUUUUUUGUUAAUGUCAUCAAGAAAAUAAGAUGAUGCAAAAAUGCUAGAAGAUGUUCUUUGCAGAAAGGAUUUUUUUAAAAAAAAACUGGAUAUUUCAUUUCCUUUUUGAAUUUUUUUUCUGAGAAUGAUACUGCUGCCUCCAGAGUACAUGUAUAUUACAAAAAUUAUGAAUUCAACACAGAAUAAAGUAUUUAGUGUAGAAUG